CUCGGCCGUGUUUGUUGUGUUGGCUCCUGGUGGACUAUUCAUCAUGCAAAUAUAGGAUUUAUAUGCGGUUAAAACAGACCGUCCAUGAAUGCAGUUUCUUCGUGUCCUUAAGGUGAUCCAGACAGGCUGGACAGGAGGAGGAGAGACAGAUCUGGACUCCUAACAGCAGAGAACUUCAGCACGGAUUCCAAGGAAAGGACAUGCCUGAGAGACAGGACUGCUUCACCAUUUUCUCUUUCUCUGAGGGUCCAGAAGAACAUCCAAGAGGGAAAGGAAAAGCUGAUGUUAUGAGAUUUAAGAGCAGUACAGGACAUUCACUAAGAGACACUUAUAUUGUAACACAAAGACCUGCACACUGAAUAGUUUUGUAGUCUAACAGGAACUUAAUUUUUGUGUUGUUUUGUGUUUUACCUCAGAGACAGUGUGAUUAUUGUCAGGCCUAUAAAGUUUGGCAAAAGAAAAAGUCAGCUGAUCAAAUGCAUUUGCCUCACUUUAUGAGCUUCACAAUACUUGAGCCUUGUACCGCAGAGUUUGCAACGUCACAAAUGAAUGGUGCCAAUCUUCAGUCAGAUGUGAAUGUGUAAUUUAACAUUUUCAGCAAGAAUAACGGACAAAAGGAGUACAAAUACAAUUUAUUGAAAUGUGAACUAAAAGUUAUCAAGCAUGAACCAUCACAAUGUUUUAAAAAUAAAAACAAAGUAAUAUA
Trematomus bernacchii (emerald rockcod) is the source of this 706-nucleotide long non-coding RNA. RefSeq lists it as uncharacterized. The record is from RefSeq and is a predicted model, not a curated record. The transcript is spliced from 3 exons. Lineage: Eukaryota; Metazoa; Chordata; Actinopteri; Perciformes; Nototheniidae.